GCUCUGCACAGGACAGGGUGGAGAGGAGCUUGGAGAUCAAGAUGGAGAAGGGAGAAGGCCAGACGAUGAGAGGGGAGUGAACCCUGGGCGUAAUGGUUCCACACCAAGAGAAGUUCUGAAGGUCAAGGUCCAGAAGCCAAGAUUCAGCUGGGCAGGUUGCAUCUCUACAAGGCAGCCUCAGAUGUUCAUUGUCAAAUGGAUGAACUGGGAAGAGAGAGAGAGAGAGAUGAGGGGUCAUUGUCCUUCCAUGUCCCUUCCAGCCUCAGCCUCAGGAGUGGCCCCAGUUUUCUGACAUCACAGGAGAUCUGCUAUUUUAUCAUUUUGCCUGCCAGCUUGGAUGUCUGUCUCAACAGGAAACCAUUUAAAGAAAAUAAAUGAAUUCUCAGCACUUGA
Long non-coding RNA from Pongo pygmaeus (Bornean orangutan), 393 nucleotides. RefSeq lists it as uncharacterized. The record is from RefSeq and is a predicted model, not a curated record. The transcript is spliced from 2 exons. NCBI's taxonomy places the organism in Eukaryota, Metazoa, Chordata, Mammalia, Primates, Hominidae.